AUGAGACUGCAGACAGCUCAAUGUCUCCUCUAUGCGCCGGACAGUGUGCUUUGGGUUUCCUUUGCGAGGUCAGUGAUGCAUGGUAUCGGGGCUUUUUCACUGGACAGACAUUUCUUUCUGAUGGCAAAUAUUCAAUGGAUACAAGGGUUUCAUCUACCUUUUUUCUUUAAAUCUGUUUUGGAAGCAUGGAAUAUAUUAACUGUGUCUAGAACUCCGGAUCAAAACUAUGGUACAGAGGAGCCCCUUUUCUUUAAUCCUCUCAUGCCCACUCAGGAGAGAGUCGGGGAUAGCCUGAUCUCGGCAUUUAUGGGAGCAGGUAUAACCAAGUUAGGAGACCUGUUGGACCAUGAGAACGGGAGGUGGAAGUUGGCACUGGAGGUUAGUGCCCAGACUGGACUGAGGUCUCUGCGCCUGGUGGCUGACCUGUUGGGUAGGCUCAGAGUCUCCCUCCCGAACAGUCUCCGUGCUGCAGCAAACAGCGUUGUAGCUGGAACACCAGAACAGGUGGCUUUCCCUGAACUUCGGAUAUCUCCCAGGUGUGCAUCGAGAGGAGGGGGACACCUGUUGACUUUUAAUGCUCUUACUGAUUUAAGUCUAGCCUCAGUUGACCGAAAGUCACUUUAUAACAUAUGCUGCAAAUCCUUGUUUUUCAAUCAGCUGGUCAGUCGUCCAGACACCAAGUGGCGGGAACAUGGACAGUUUCCACCAGACUUUUCUCCCACAUGGAGGUUGCUGUACAAGCCUCCCAUCUCCAAAAGAGUGGGGGAUUUGCAGUGGCGCGUCCUUCACUUGGCCAUCCCUACUAAUCGCUUUGUGUCUAGGUUCAACCAUGAAGUCAUGCCAACCUGCCCUUUCUGCCCGGCCCCGGACACGGUUUUUCAUUUUUUCACUGAAUGCUCCAGACUGUUACCUUUGUUUUCUCUUCUACAGACAUUGUUGGGGAAACUUGGCUUUCUUUUUAACCACAAUCUGUUUGUUUCCUCAGUGAGGUACACUAAAGGGAGAAAAGGGGAAUGCACAUUGGCAAAUUUCCUAUUUGGACAGGUAAAGCUGGCCAUCUAUAAAACCCACAAGACUGAGAUGGAGGAGGGCAAUGGGAAGGACUUGGUGGGGGUGUUUAAAACGAUGGUCAGGACCAGGGUGGCAGCUGAUUUUGCAUACCUUAAAAUGACUGAUGAGCUUUUGUUUUUCAAUCAGCGUUGGUGCAUUGGUGGAGCUAUAUGUUCAGUGGACUCCACUGAUGGAAUCUCUUUCCGGUUUUAG
This 1263-nucleotide long non-coding RNA is filed under the name Gadus morhua (Atlantic cod). Its description in RNAcentral is "lncRNA (ENSGMOG00000028498.1)". The record is from RNAcentral. Lineage: Eukaryota; Metazoa; Chordata; Actinopteri; Gadiformes; Gadidae.